GAAAAUUAGGCGUCAAUAUGGUAUGUGGUUAGGCCAUAUGCUAAAUGUCAUGUUGUGUUCUAUCAAAUAUAGAAAAGUACAUUGUAGAAUCUCCAUCGUCCAUUUUGAAUUGAAACUAGUUCGAGAUCAACUCGAAAUCAUUGAAUGCGGUCUGGGUCAUUCAGCAAAAUCAGGUGUUAAAUGUUGUACGGGGAAAACAUUGCAAACACAACAAUAUUACUUGCUGUUUCUAAUUUUGAUUUAUCUAGUGAUAGCUAAAACACUAUUUUGUACUUAAUAUAAUCUGUA
Molecule: long non-coding RNA, 288 nt
Filed under: Hordeum vulgare
Lineage: Eukaryota; Viridiplantae; Streptophyta; Magnoliopsida; Poales; Poaceae
Description: long non-coding RNA (HVUL_LNC017451)
Source: RNAcentral